AGUGAACGCUGGCGGUAGGCCUAACACAUGCAAGUCGAACGGCAGCACAGUAAGAGCUUGCUCUUACGGGUGGCGAGUGGCGGACGGGUGAGGAAUACAUCGGAAUCUACUUUUUCGUGGGGGAUAACGUAGGGAAACUUACGCUAAUACCGCAUACGACCUACGGGUGAAAGCAGGGGAUCUUCGGACCUUGCGCGAUUGAAUGAGCCGAUGUCGGAUUAGCUAGUUGGCGGGGUAAAGGCCCACCAAGGCGACGAUCCGUAGCUGGUCUGAGAGGAUGAUCAGCCACACUGGAACUGAGACACGGUCCGGACUCCUACGGGAGGCAGCAGUGGGGAAUAUUGGACAAUGGGCGCAAGCCUGAUCCAGCCAUACCGCGUGGGUGAAGAAGGCCUUCGGGUUGUAAAGCCCUUUUGUUGGGAAAGAAAAGCAGCAGGUUAAUACCCCGCUGCUCUGACGGUACCCAAAGAAUAAGCACCGGCUAACUUCGUG
This 492-nucleotide ribosomal RNA is filed under the name uncultured bacterium. RNAcentral's name for it is "partial 16S ribosomal RNA". It matches the Rfam family "Bacterial small subunit ribosomal RNA", at positions 29 to 507 of the family's 1533-position model. The record is from RNAcentral.